Molecule: ribosomal RNA, 404 nt
Filed under: uncultured soil bacterium
Lineage: Bacteria
Description: bacterial SSU rRNA
Rfam family: Bacterial small subunit ribosomal RNA
Source: RNAcentral
CACUAGCGGGGGAGCAUGUGGUUUAAUUUGAAGCAACGGGAAGAACCUUACCUGGGCUUGACAUGCACGGGAAAGCCGCCGGAAACAUCGGUUCCUUUUCGGAGUCCCUGCACCGGUGGUGCAUGGCUGUUGUCAGCUUGUGUUGUGAGAUGUUGGGUUAAGUUCCGCAACGAGCGCAACCCUUGUCCCUAGUUACCCACGGAUCAAGCCGGGCAAUUUAGGGGGGCUGGCGGUGUCAAACCGGAAGAAAGUUGGGGAGAAGUCAAGUCCACCAGGCCCUUAAGUCCAGGGGUUCACACAUGGUACAAUGGCCGGUACAGAGGGUUGCAAAACGGCAAGGGGGAGCCAAUCGCCAAAAACCCGUUUCAGUUUGGAUUGGCGUUUGCAACUUGGCUGCCUGAAGC